CGGGUAACCGACCCAUCAGAGGGGGAUAACACUUGGAAACAGGUGCUAAUACCGCAUAACAGUUUAUGCCGCAUGGCAUAAGAGUGAAAGGCGCUUUCGGGUGUCGCUGAUGGAUGGACCCGCGGUGCAUUAGCUAGUUGGUGAGGUAACGGCUCACCAAGGCCACGAUGCAUAGCCGACCUGAGAGGGUGAUCGGCCACACUGGGACUGAGACACGGCCCAG
This 223-nucleotide ribosomal RNA is filed under the name uncultured bacterium. RNAcentral's name for it is "partial 16S ribosomal RNA". It matches the Rfam family "Bacterial small subunit ribosomal RNA", at positions 118 to 334 of the family's 1533-position model. The record is from RNAcentral.